Molecule: unclassified non-coding RNA, 423 nt
Filed under: fungal sp.
Lineage: Eukaryota; Fungi
Description: partial internal transcribed spacer region
Rfam family: Eukaryotic small subunit ribosomal RNA (bases 1-46)
Source: RNAcentral
AAGUCGUAACAAGGUCUCCGUAGGUGAACCUGCGGAGGGAUCAUUAACAAAAAUCAAAAAAAAAACACAAAUGAAUCCCAAGAACGGAACGAGCCCCAAAAGCUUUUUCUCUUUUUUCGAUUCUUUUUUGCUUUUUUUUUAAUUCAAAAAACACUUUGCGAACCAUGUGACUGACCAAGUUGUUUUUCCGACGCUCUCACGAGUCGAACGAAAUCUCUUGGCUUUUUUUUCACUAACAACCAAUUUCACCAAUUUUUUCUAUGAUUUUCUCAUUGCUCGUCUGAGCAGUGAAAGAAGCACAGGAAAAGCCAAUUGAAUAUCAAAAACUGAAAAGUUGAAAAUUUAAUUUCUAAUUUUUUCUUUUUCACAAAAUAAAAAAACAAAAUUAAAGCACAACUCUUAGCAACGGAUAUCUUGGUUCUC